CUCUCGGGUGACAAGCGGCGGACGGGUGAGUAACGCGUAGGAAUCUACCUAAUAGUGGGGGAUAGCCCAGGGAAACUUGGAUUAAUACCGCAUACGCCCUAAGGGGGAAAGCGGGGGAUCUUCGGACCUCGUGCUAUUAGAUGAGCCUGCGUAAGAUUAGCUAGUUGGUGAGGUAAGAGCUCACCAAGGCGACGAUCUUUAGCUGGUCUGAGAGGAUGAUCAGCCACACUGGGACUGAGACACGGCCCAGACUCCUACGGGAGGCAGCAGUGGGGAAUAUUGGACAAUGGGGGCAACCCUGAUCCAGCCAUGCCGCGUGUGUGAAGAAGGCCUGCGGGUUGUAAAGCACUUUCAGUUGGGAAGAUGAUGACGUUACCAACAGAAGAAGCACCGGCUAAAUCCGUGCCAGCAGCCGCGGUAAUACGGAUGGUGCGAGCGUUAAUCGGAAUUACUGGGCGUAAAGCGCGCGUAGGCGGCUAAGUCAGUCAGAAGUGAAAGCCCCGGGCUCAACCUGGGAAUUGCUUUUGAUACUGCUUAGCUAGAGUUUGGUAGAGGAUAGUGGAAUUCCAGGUGUAGCGGUGAAAUGCGUAGAUAUCUGGAGGAACAUCGGUGGCGAAGGCGACUGUCUGGACCAAAACUGACGCUGAGGUGCGAAAGCGUGGGUAGCAAACAGGAUUAGAUACCCUGGUAG
Molecule: ribosomal RNA, 691 nt
Filed under: uncultured Gammaproteobacteria bacterium
Lineage: Bacteria; Pseudomonadati; Pseudomonadota; Gammaproteobacteria
Description: bacterial SSU rRNA
Rfam family: Bacterial small subunit ribosomal RNA
Source: RNAcentral